RNAcentral lists this ribosomal RNA (191 nucleotides) under uncultured bacterium. RNAcentral describes it as "partial 16S ribosomal RNA". It matches the Rfam family "Bacterial small subunit ribosomal RNA", at positions 1312 to 1500 of the family's 1533-position model. The record is from RNAcentral.
UCGCCUGCAUGAAGUCGGAACUGCUAGUAAUCGCAGAUCAGCAUGCUGCGGUGAAUACGUUCCCGGGCCUUGUACACACCGCCCGUCACACCAUGGGAGUCGGUAACACCCGAAGUCAGGAGCCUGACCUUUUUAGGAGGGCACUGCCGAAGGUGGGAUUGAUGACUGGGGUGAAGUCGUAACAAGGUACC